This 547-nucleotide unclassified non-coding RNA is filed under the name Lasiodiplodia theobromae. RNAcentral's name for it is "sequence contains 18S rRNA gene, ITS1, 5.8S rRNA gene, ITS2, 28S rRNA gene". The stretch from base 181 to 334 matches the Rfam family "5.8S ribosomal RNA". The record is from RNAcentral. Lineage: Eukaryota; Fungi; Ascomycota; Dothideomycetes; Botryosphaeriales; Botryosphaeriaceae.
UCGUAACAAGGUUUCCGUAGGUGAACCUGCGGAAGGAUCAUUACCGAGUUUUCGAGCUCCGGCUCGACUCUCCCACCCUUUGUGAACGUACCUCUGUUGCUUUGGCGGCUCCGGCCGCCAAAGGACCUUCAAACUCCAGUCAGUAAACGCAGACGUCUGAUAAACAAGUUAAUAAACUAAAACUUUCAACAACGGAUCUCUUGGUUCUGGCAUCGAUGAAGAACGCAGCGAAAUGCGAUAAGUAAUGUGAAUUGCAGAAUUCAGUGAAUCAUCGAAUCUUUGAACGCACAUUGCGCCCCUUGGUAUUCCGGGGGGCAUGCCUGUUCGAGCGUCAUUACAACCCUCAAGCUCUGCUUGGAAUUGGGCACCGUCCUCACUGCGGACGCGCCUCAAAGACCUCGGCGGUGGCUGUUCAGCCCUCAAGCGUAGUAGAAUACACCUCGCUUUGGAGCGGUUGGCGUCGCCCGCCGGACGAACCUUCUGAACUUUUCUCAAGGUUGACCUCGGAUCAGGUAGGGAUACCCGCUGAACUUAAGCAUAUCAAUAA